RNAcentral lists this ribosomal RNA (505 nucleotides) under Bacillus pumilus. RNAcentral's name for it is "bacterial SSU rRNA". It matches the Rfam family "Bacterial small subunit ribosomal RNA", at positions 29 to 522 of the family's 1533-position model. Lineage: Bacteria; Bacillati; Bacillota; Bacilli; Caryophanales; Bacillaceae. The record is from RNAcentral.
ACGAACGCUUGGCGGCGUGCCUAAUACAUGCAAGUCAAGCGGACAGAAGGGAGCUUGCUCCCGGAUGUUAGCGGCGGACGGGUGAGUAACACGUGGGUAACCUGCCUGUAAGACUGGGAUAACUCCGGGAAACCGGAGCUAAUACCGGAUAGUUCCUUGAACCGCAUGGUUCAAGGAUGAAAGACGGUUUCGGCUGUCACUUACAGAUGGACCCGCGGCGCAUUAGCUAGUUGGUGGGGUAAUGGCUCACCAAGGCGACGAUGCGUAGCCGACCUGAGAGGGUGAUCGGCCACACUGGGACUGAGACACGGCCCAGACUCCUACGGGAGGCAGCAGUAGGGAAUCUUCCGCAAUGGACGAAAGUCUGACGGAGCAACGCCGCGUGAGUGAUGAAGGUUUUCGGAUCGUAAAGCUCUGUUGUUAGGGAAGAACAAGUGCGAGAGUAACUGCUCCACCUUGACGGUACCUAACCAGAAAACCACGCUAAGUGCCAGCAGCCGCGGUA